RNAcentral lists this ribosomal RNA (892 nucleotides) under uncultured bacterium. RNAcentral describes it as "bacterial SSU rRNA". It matches the Rfam family "Bacterial small subunit ribosomal RNA", at positions 99 to 975 of the family's 1533-position model. The record is from RNAcentral.
CGGACGGGUGAGUAACACGUGGGCAACCUGCCUGUAAGACUGGGAUAACUCCGGGAAACCGGGGCUAAUACCGGAUAAUCAUGUGGAUCGCAUGAUCCACAUCUGAAAGAUGGCCUUUGCGCUAUCACUUACAGAUGGGCCCGCGGCGUAUUAGCUAGUUGGUGAGGUAAUGGCUCACCAAGGCAACGAUACGUAGCCGACCUGAGAGGGUGAUCGGCCACACUGGGACUGAGACACGGCCCAGACUCCUACGGGAGGCAGCAGUAGGGAAUCAUCCGCAAUGGACGAAAGUCUGACGGUGCAAUGCCGCGUGAGUGAGGAAGGCCUUCGGGUCGUAAAACUCUGUUGUUAGGGAAGAAUAGGUUCUGUUCGAAUAGGGCAGAGCUAUGACGGUACCUAACCAGAAAGCCACGGCUAACUACGUGCCAGCAGCCGCGGUAAUACGUAGGUGGCAAGCGUUGUCCGGAAUUAUUGGGCGUAAAGCGCGCGCAGGCGGUUUCUUAAGUCUGAUGUGAAAGCCCACGGCUCAACCGUGGAGGGUCAUUGGAAACUGGGGAACUUGAAUACAGGAGAGGAAAGUGGAAUUCCACGUGUAGCGGUGAAAUGCGUAGAGAUGUGGAGGAACACCAGUGGCGAAGGCGACUUUCUGGCCUGAUAUUGACGCUGAGGCGCGAAAGCGUGGGGAGCAAACAGGAUUAGAUACCCUGGUAGUCCACGCCGUAAACGAUGAGUGCUAGGUGUUAGGGGUUCCCACCCUUAGUGCUGUAGUUAACGCAAUAAGCACUCCGCCUGGGGAGUACGACCGCAAGGUUGAAACUCAAAGGAAUUGACGGGGGCCCGCACAAGCGGUGGAGCAUGUGGUUUAAUUCGACGCAACGCGAAGAACCUUACC